GUUCUUCUUCAGACCACAAAAGCAGAACCUUUGUUUGUCCAUUGGAAACUAAGUGCAUAUCUGGUGUCUAUUACCAGGCGAUUGCAAAUGUAAACUCAGCACAGUCUGUGCUGCACUCCAGCAUCCUGCAGUUCAGCCACUAAAAGCUCCUUAUGGACUUGCCUCAUUUCCGAGCUGAGCAUUCUCCAGAAACCAAUCUCCUCCUUAAGUCCUAUUCAUUUGUUUGGCCACCAAAAUAAAUCUCCGGCUUUCAUUCACACUGCCACACGCAGGAAUAUGAUCCUGCACGCAGUUCGCUUUUCUCCUCCAAAUUUCCAACAAAGCAGCCUAAUCGUCAUCAUUCUUAGAACCAUCUAGCUUUUACCUAAACUCAAUGGUCUCUACAUGAGGUCCAUCUCUCUUUUCUGCAGAUUGUAGCUUGUUUGUUGGAGCUGUUCUGCAGCCUCCGCAUGAGCUCUGUUUUUCUCUUUUUAUACACAGUAGAGGUAUAGUGGUUCCCUACAGCAAUUGGCCUCAGGGACCCCCACACUUUUGCCCCAAACCAUUACAUGAUGACCAUUCCCUGAAGAACCAUGUCUAAAGAGAUCGUAUGUCUGAAGGACCUUCACAUAAGCGGUGAUCCAUGCUGGAGCAAGGCGGCCUGCAGGACGGAUGGAGCGGUGGAGCGGAGACUGCACUACCUGAAUACAAAUGAGCAAGGGGAGGGAGGUGGUGCCCAUCAACCAAUCGAAGUGGAGGGGGCGUGUACCACAGGCUGCAGCUUCGCAUCUACGCUGCAGGAGUUCAGACUCGCACUGCAAGGCGCGCACACACCCACACACACAUGCACGCACACACACACAUGCAGGCACGCAUGUGUUCUGUUUAUCAUAUGAUUCACAUAUUUUUUAUAUGUUUAAUACACAUUUUCUAAUGUAUUAUUACAAUGCAAUGGAAUGGUACAGUGCAAUACAAUUCUACACAAUAUGAUACACAGUAAUUCUACACAAUUCUACACAAGGCGAUAGUUUGUGAUAUAAUUCCAGACAAUGCAAUAUGCUGUGAUACCAUUCUACACCAUGUAAUAUGCUGUGAUACAAUUCUACACAAUACAAUAUGCUGUGAUACAAUUCUACACGAUGCAAUAUGCUGUGAUACCAUUCUACACCAUGUAAUAUGCUGUGAUACAAUUCUACACAAUACAAUAUGCUGUGAUACCAUUCUACACCAUGUAAUAUACUGUGAUACAAUUCUACACAAUACAAUAUGCUGUGAUACAAUUCUACACGAUGCAAUAUGCUGUGAUACAAUUCUACACAGUACAAUAUGCUGUAAUACAUUUCUACACAAUAAAUUAUGCUGUGAUACAAUUCACCACAAAGUAAUAUGCUGUGAUAAAAUUCUACACAAUGCGAUAUGCUGUGAUACCAUUCUACACAACACAAUAUACUGUGAUACAAUUCUACACAAUGCAAUAUGCUGUGAUACCAUUCUACACAAUGCAAUAUGCUGUGAUACCAUUCUACACAAUUCAGCAUGCUGUGAUAGAAUUCUACACAACGCAAUAUGCACAUAACACUGACAAAAUUUUACACAAUCUGAUACUUUUCCAAUUAAAAUCUGCAUAACACAGUAUGAUGUUAUUCAAUUCUACACAAUGUGAUAGGUUGUGAUACAAUUCUACACAAAGAAAACAUGAUGCAAUGCCAAUCUACAUAAUAUAAUGCAAUGCAAUAAUAUGCAACACUAUUCUGUACAAUACUCUAAAAUGUAAUUUUAUACGUCUACACAAUCUAAUUCCUCGCAAUACAAUUCUGCACAGCACAAUAAUCUGUGAUGUUGCACUUGCAAAAGAAUUCUACACUAUCGGACAUGCUGUAAUACAAUUCUACACAAUCUCAAUCUGAUUCUUCAUUAUACAAUCCGGCACAAUAUAAUAUCAUUCUAUACAAUAACCAUGCUAUAAAACAAAACUACGCAAUUAAUUAUGCUACAACACAGUUCUAUGCAAUCUAACAAUUCGAUAUGAUUCAAUUCCAUUCUACACAGUAUGCUGUAAUACACUUCUACACAGUGAGAUAUCAUGCACAACCAUUCUACAUAAUACAGUGUAAUACACAAUUCUGUGUAAUUUUAUGCAAUCUAAUGCUCAGCAUUAGCAGCUCAUCAUUAGCAUCUGGCUGAGGUCUUGCUAGCAUAAAUCUUGCAUAGAGCUGGCCCUGUGACCAGAGACUAAUGAUUUAAAUUAAACCAUUUGCAAGGAAAAAAAAAAUUACAGCUGAGAAAGGAAGAUUUAAUAAUAGCUUAAGAACAGCUAACACAUAUUUACAUGCCAACAUCUGUGCAAUCAACUCCUUAAUGUUUUGUGCUGUCAUGUUUUCUUUUAAAAGAAAAUUUUAGUUAUUACUAAAAUGGGUUUGUCUUUGAUGAUGAAACCAACAACAAGCUCAUAAACACUAUAAACUGCCAGAAUGUACUUAUUUUUUAUUAUUUUCUAUUUUUCCUAUAUUUUUUGUGUUCAUUUGAAGAGUGUAAUGUUUAUCCACACUUUGUAGAGGUUUACACCUCAAAUCACACUUUCCUAAAGCUUUAAAUGUUUUAAUUAGAGUGUGUGAACUUACUGCUGGGUUUAUUGGGAACUGUUGGUUCAUGUGAAGUUACAGCUUUUAAAUUGCAUAUGAGGGAUAAAAGGAACCAUGUAUGUUUAACUUUUAUUACUGUCUCCAUCCAAGAUAUCUUGCCUUCUCAUUAUGAAAAGAAAAGAUUUUAGACUGACAACAAAGGGGGGAAUCUGAACUCUUUACAGCCUCCAGACUUGCUGGGAUUUUAAAGGUCUUCUUCUGCUAAAAUCCACUUUUUCUUUUUCUUUGUGAAAUACUAUAGGUCUCUCUAAGUUGUAUAUGCAUGCUACAUAUGAAACUGUUCCUCAGCCUCCAUUGUCUGCAGCAGCUAGUAAAAGAAAAUAU
This is a long non-coding RNA of Astyanax mexicanus (Mexican tetra), 2945 nucleotides long. RefSeq lists it as uncharacterized. The transcript has 3 exons. The record is from RefSeq and is a predicted model, not a curated record. Lineage: Eukaryota; Metazoa; Chordata; Actinopteri; Characiformes; Acestrorhamphidae.